Molecule: long non-coding RNA, 305 nt
Filed under: Bos indicus x Bos taurus (hybrid cattle)
Lineage: Eukaryota; Metazoa; Chordata; Mammalia; Artiodactyla; Bovidae
Description: lncRNA (ENSBIXG00000010932.1)
Source: RNAcentral
ACUUACCUGACUGCCUUAGGGGCACGAGGCUGAACAGAUAGAUGCCCGGCACCCGGAAAAUGGGACAACUUUCUAGGACAACAUCACUGUUUAAGCCGCUGCUCAGUGACAGUUCUCUGCAGGGUUCAGGACACGCGACUGAGAAGGCAGCGGAGUUCCAGGCACCAGUUGCUGUAUCAGGCAAUCCACAACACACAGGAAGCACCCACAUACCUGUGCAAGAUUGAUUCCAGUACCUGGCAAGUGGAUGUUAAGCUGUGAGUGGAGAGGUUUGCAUUAUUUUGAAGUGUAAUCAGCUAGUGAGU